Molecule: ribosomal RNA, 253 nt
Filed under: uncultured bacterium
Lineage: Bacteria
Description: partial 16S ribosomal RNA
Rfam family: Bacterial small subunit ribosomal RNA
Source: RNAcentral
UACGGGGGGGGCAAGCGUUGUUCGGAAUUACUGGGCGUAAAGGGCUCGUAGGCGGCCAACUAAGUCAUACGUGAAAUCCCUCGGCUUAACCGGGGAACUGCGUCUGAUACUGGAUGGCUUGAGUUCGGGAGAGGGAUGCGGAAUUCCAGGUGUAGCGGUGCAAUGCGUAGAUAUCUGGAGGAACACCGGUGGCGAAGGCGGCAUCCUGGACCAAUACUGACACUGAGGAGCGAAAGCCAGGGGAGCAAACGGG